GACGAACGCUGGCGGCGUGCCUAAUACAUGCAAGUAGAACGCUGAAGGAGGAGCUUGCUUCUCUGGAUGAGUUGCGAACGGGUGAGUAACGCGUAGGUAACCUGCCUGGUAGCGGGGGAUAACUAUUGGAAACGAUAGCUAAUACCGCAUAAUAGCAGUUAUUGCAUGAUAACUGUUUGAAAGGUGCAAUUGCACCACUACCAGAUGGACCUGCGUUGUAUUAGCUAGUUGGUGGGGUAACGGCUCACCAAGGCGACGAUACAUAGCCGACCUGAGAGGGUGAUCGGCCACACUGGGACUGAGACACGGCCCAGACUCCUACGGGAGGCAGCAGUAGGGAAUCUUCGGCAAUGGACGGAAGUCUGACCGAGCAACGCCGCGUGAGUGAAGAAGGUUUUCGGAUCGUAAAGCUCUGUUGUAAGAGAAGAACGAGUGUGAGAGGGAAAGUUCAC
RNAcentral lists this ribosomal RNA (452 nucleotides) under Streptococcus mitis. RNAcentral's name for it is "bacterial SSU rRNA". It matches the Rfam family "Bacterial small subunit ribosomal RNA", at positions 28 to 467 of the family's 1533-position model. Lineage: Bacteria; Bacillati; Bacillota; Bacilli; Lactobacillales; Streptococcaceae. The record is from RNAcentral.